UUCCACUCAUUGGUACAAACUCCAAACAUUCUUCCAAAUUCGACCUCAAAUCAGGUAGGACUACCCGCUGAACUUAAGCAUAUCAAUAAGCGGAGGAAAAGAAACCAACAGGGAUUGCCUUAGUAGCGGCGAGUGAAGCGGCAAAAGCUCAAAUUUGAAAUCUGGCACUUUCAGUGUCCGAGUUGUAAUUUGAAGAAGGUAUCUUUGGGUCUGGCUCUUGUCUAUGUUUCUUGGAACAGAACGUCACAGAGGGUGAGAAUCCCGUGCGAUGAGAUGACCCAG
RNAcentral lists this ribosomal RNA (282 nucleotides) under Lodderomyces metapsilosis. Its description in RNAcentral is "Candida metapsilosis partial 28S ribosomal RNA". The stretch from base 41 to 282 matches the Rfam family "Eukaryotic large subunit ribosomal RNA", at positions 1 to 239 of the family's 3401-position model. Lineage: Eukaryota; Fungi; Ascomycota; Pichiomycetes; Serinales; Debaryomycetaceae. The record is from RNAcentral.